This 450-nucleotide ribosomal RNA is filed under the name uncultured bacterium. RNAcentral's name for it is "partial 16S ribosomal RNA". It matches the Rfam family "Bacterial small subunit ribosomal RNA", at positions 354 to 796 of the family's 1533-position model. The record is from RNAcentral.
GUGGGGAAUCUUCCACAAUGGACGAAAGUCUGAUGGAGCAACGCCGCGUGAGUGAAGAAGGGUUUCGGCUCGUAAAGCUCUGUUGUCGGGGACGAAUGUGCAGUAUUUGAAUAAAGUACUGUAAUGACGGUACCUGACGAGGAAGCCACGGCUAACUACGUGCCAGCAGCCGCGGUAAUACGUAGGUGGCAAGCGUUGUCCGGAAUUAUUGGGCGUAAAGGGAGCGCAGGCGGGAAGGUAAGUCGGUCUUAAAAGUGCGGGGCUCAACCCCGUGAUGGGAUCGAAACUAUCUUUCUUGAGUGCAGGAGAGGAAAGUGGAAUUCCUAGUGUAGCGGUGAAAUGCGUAGAUAUUAGGAAGAACACCAGUGGCGAAGGCGACUUUCUGGACGAAAACUGACGCUGAGGCGCGAAAGCCAGGGGAGCGAACGGGAUUAGAUACCCUAGUAGUCC